GGUAUAGCCAUGUCUACCAAGCUGAAAAAUAAAGUUAUUGUACUGUUGUCAUGGGCACUUUUGCUGCAGCUAGAUCUAGAUUACUUUGCUCUGGCUGCUGACAUCACAAAAGAGGAAGAUCUACUGACAGUGUGUCCUGGAGAGUUGGUCUCUCUCACUUGCACUCAUAACGAUGUUGCUGGUGGGCUAACUCGCUGGCAAGUCAGCGGUCCGAUGUCUUGCGUUGCAUUGGUUCCCCAUGAUGCCGGGUUGCAAGAAGACGUCUGUGGUCCAUUCACUAUCACCAUGAUCAGUGAUAACUCUGGGUCUACACUGAGCUCAACUAUUCAGAUACCUGCCACUGAAACAUUGAACAGUACUCUGGUGACGUGCCUCGCUGGUAGCAGUGGGUCUUCUC
This is a long non-coding RNA of Halichondria panicea, 397 nucleotides long. RefSeq lists it as uncharacterized. NCBI's taxonomy places the organism in Eukaryota, Metazoa, Porifera, Demospongiae, Suberitida, Halichondriidae. The transcript is spliced from 3 exons. The record is from RefSeq and is a predicted model, not a curated record.